This 2513-nucleotide long non-coding RNA is filed under the name Sus scrofa (pig). RNAcentral describes it as "lncRNA (ENSSSCG00035026022.1)". The record is from RNAcentral. Lineage: Eukaryota; Metazoa; Chordata; Mammalia; Artiodactyla; Suidae.
UUAGAAUCAUCCAUGGAUGCCCUUUGUUCUGUGAGCUUCCUGCCGAAAGAGGCCUCUGCACUAAAGGUAUUUGAUAGGGCUUAUGUCUGAUGGUGACUUUGUUACCAGGCUAAACCCGAGUCCAUUCACCUGCACCCAGUAAAGCCAAUCUACUGUUAGCAUCUAUUGCAGGACACCAAGCAAGGAGAACAGGCAACUCCUGCUCAAAAGACCCAAACUCCCGGAUGGCUUUCAGGGAAAGAGGUGCAUGGCUCAUGAUCUGCUUGUGCCCAGUUCUCAGAUUGGCUGGCAUCAAGGUGAAGUUUCAAGCAUCAUCAACCUUCUGGUUUCAACUAGUCUCUGUUAUUAUGGUCAGUAGUUUUCAUCUGGCGGUGGUUUGCUUCCUGUAAAAUUAGCUUAGGACUGUGUUUCAGGCCUUUAUAUGUUUUAGGGAACUGGGAGUUUAAUGAUUCGCUGUGUGGCAGGUUUAUAGUCUAAACUGUUUAGCAGUUCCCUGGCCCAGCAGCUAUUCUUUGCUUCCACAUCUGCACAUUUCCUAUCACUGUUUCUUGCAUCAGCCAUUUGAGACUCAAGCAAAGAGCCUUUUACCUCAAAGGACAGGGACACAGGGGCUUGUACAUGGUUUCAACUUGACACUGCUCUCUGUUGCAUUUCAAGCUUAUUUUACCUACUCCCUCGGUCCGACCUCAAAAGAGGGAAAGGGAACAUAUCAAAUGAUGUGUGUCUCAUAACCUAGUGAGCGGUGUAUUUUGAAGCAGUGAGGACUUCUUAUGUAACACCCACAGCAGUUUAGAAACCAUCCAUAAAUACUUGUUUCCAGUGGAGCUAAUGAGCGUAUCAGCCUAAUUUAACUUGUAGGAGUGAGACCUCUCCAAUAAUGUCUAUCCCAAAUCGUCUUUCUUCUUUAUACUUCUAGUUUGUUUGUGUAUCUCUCUUUGGGCUAUCUACUUAAUCGUUCACAAUGGAAUUGUCUCCAUAUUUAUUUAGAUCAGUGGUUCUCAACCUUGGCUGCCAUUGAGAAUCAUCCAGGGAACUUUUAAAAAUUGGAAAGCCUGGGCCGCACACCAGACCCGUUACAUAAGCACUGGGGGGGAUGGGGGGGGGGAACAGUAGGAUCCAGGCAUUAGUAAUUUCUCCAGAGUCCCUCAGAUGACAUGAAUGUGUAGCCAGGGUUAAAAAACAUUAUUAUUUUUUCUCUUUUUUCCUUUUUUUUUUCUUUUUUUUUUUUUCUUUUUAGGGCUCCAUCUACAGCAUAUGGAAGUUUCUGGGCUAGAGAUCAAAUGGGAGCUGCAGCUGCAGACCUAUCCCACAGCCACAGCAACACCGCAGCUUGCAGCCGUGCUAGAUCCUUAACCCACUGAGCAAGGCCGGGGGUCAGACCCGCAUCCUCAAGGAAACUAGUCAGGUUCUUAAGCUGAGUCACAACGGGAACUCCAAAAACCAGAGGGCUUGUUAAGAUUUAGAUUGCUGGUCCCACCUCCCCGCCAGAGUUCCUGAUUAAGCAGGUCGGGGGGUGGGCCCUAAAAAUGUUCCGUUUUUAACGAGGUCCCAGGUGAUGCUGAUGGUGCUGGUUUUCGGGCCGCACUUUGAGAACCAUGGGAAAUAGAAACUGCGUUAGAAAAGAAAGACUGGAGGGCCCAUCCUCAGUGCCCGCCAAGCUGUGUGUGUGCAGCUUCAUCCCAGUGCAGGUGAUGGAUGGGGAGCACGAGCCUAUGUGCUGGCUGGUAGGAGGGCACAAAAGGAGAAGACAGCACCCCAGAACCCCGAGGAAGCCUCGGGAUGGAAGGAGGCAGGGCCUGGGGCUAGGCAGCGGCAAGGUUGCCAGCAGCUGUGGAGUGGCGGAGAGGCGGGGGCUGGGGAGCCUUCACCCUUAUUUGAUCUCUGGCCCAGCUCCCAUCGCCCCCUGCAGCUCAGUGCUGACCUCUGCAAGACUGGAGCAAUAGCAAUGUUUGGACUGCUUGUAUUUGUUCAAAAAGCAGUCCUUUCAGAACAUCCGUGAUCCCCUUUUCAUCCCUCUAACAACAACAAAAUAUUUUGAAGCGGCAGGAAGAAAAUCAUUCCGGAUUUGAGAGCCUUCAGCAGGGUCAUGUGCUCCAAGGCAUAGCCUCCACCACUCCCUGUAAUCUUGUCACCGAUUUUUCUCCACUCCUUUCUUUACCAGCUUAGGUGUCCUGAUGUGACACCUAGAACCAAGGGUCCCAUUUUAUGACCCAAGACGGAAGCUGUCCUGGAAGCAAAACGGUCUCAAACAGCAGAGGGAAAGAUGGAAAGAACCUAGGACUUCAAUGAUUGUCUCGUGCUGCUGAAACAAACCAACUCUGGGAGAGUCCAGCUUCUGGACGUCUUCCAUGUAAUAAUCCCUUUUUUUUUGUUUGUUUGUUUGUUUGUUAAGAAAAGAGGGCAGAAGGAAAGGGAAGAUAAAAAGGAAACAGAAAGAAAAGGGAGGGAAGAGAGAAAAAAGAGGUGGGAUAGAAAAAAGAAAAAAUCCCCCGCGCAGAAGUGGCCCUAGAAAU